AUGCCGGACAAGUGUGCCGGUAUGACCACGGCCGAGAUGACGUGGUUGAAUCUUCCGCCCCUUUUUGUGUGCUGGCACGUGUGCCGGCCGCUGGCAAGUGUGCCGGCCGCUGGCAAGUGUGCCAGCAUGAGCUGUGUGGUGUUUUUUUUGGAGUUGGCAUUGCAUGCCGGCCGAUGGCAUGGUGCCGGCAUGAACUUUGGGGCCGCUGACAAUGAUCUACAGCCAUGGGUCUUUUCAAAUUUGUGGGCCGACAUGAAAUGGGUAUGUCGGCGUUCUGGGAACGGGGGUCCCCAGACUUGCGUGCCUGCGGCCCACGGCGUGGCUGCUCUAGCAGGCCCGUACGGCCCAUCUUUAUCAACAAGGCAUUCAAGACCCUCGCGAGGCGGACGACGCAAGACCUCCUCAGGAGCGGCCUCGCCAGGCAGGCUCGUGAGGGGCGGAGAGAUCAAGGCAAGGCAAACCUCGCGAGGUUCUCGUGACGUAGCCAUGACGAUCGAGACCAGGUGGGCGCCAGCGCGCGCAGCGUCCUUGUUUCCUCUUUGGUGCUAA
This 549-nucleotide ribosomal RNA is filed under the name Triticum aestivum (bread wheat). RNAcentral's name for it is "partial small subunit ribosomal RNA". Lineage: Eukaryota; Viridiplantae; Streptophyta; Magnoliopsida; Poales; Poaceae. The record is from RNAcentral.